UACGGGGGGGGCAAGCGUUGUUCGGAAUUACUGGGCGUAAAGGGCUCGUAGGUGGCCAACUAAGUCAGACGUGAAAUCCCCAGGCUCAACUUGGGAACUGCGUCUGAUACUGGAUGGCUUGAAUUCGGGAGAGGGAUGCAGAAUUCCAGGUGUAGCGGUGAAAUGCGCAGAUAUCAGGAGGAACACCGGUGGCGAAGGCGCCACUCUGGGCCGAAACUGACGCUGAGGAGCGAAAGCGUGGGUAGCAAACAGG
RNAcentral lists this ribosomal RNA (253 nucleotides) under uncultured bacterium. Its description in RNAcentral is "partial 16S ribosomal RNA". It matches the Rfam family "Bacterial small subunit ribosomal RNA", at positions 524 to 776 of the family's 1533-position model. The record is from RNAcentral.